Molecule: ribosomal RNA, 424 nt
Filed under: uncultured Escherichia sp.
Lineage: Bacteria; Pseudomonadati; Pseudomonadota; Gammaproteobacteria; Enterobacterales; Enterobacteriaceae
Description: bacterial SSU rRNA
Rfam family: Bacterial small subunit ribosomal RNA
Source: RNAcentral
CCUACGGGAGGCAGCAGUGGGGAAUCUUCCGCAAUGGGCGAAAGCCUGACGGAGCAACGCCGCGUGAGUGAUGACGGCCUUCGGGUUGUAAAACUCUGUGAUCCGGGACGAAAAGGCAGAGUGCGAAGAACAAACUGCAUUGACGGUACCGGAAAAGCAAGCCACGGCUAACUACGUGCCAGCAGCCGCGGUAAUACGUAGGUGGCAAGCGUUGUCCGGAAUUAUUGGGCGUAAAGCGCGCGCAGGCGGCUUCCCAAGUCCCUCUUAAAAGUGCGGGGCUUAACCCCGUGAUGGGAAGGAAACUGGGAAGCUGGAGUAUCGGAGAGGAAAGUGGAAUUCCUAGUGUAGCGGUGAAAUGCGUAGAGAUUAGGAAGAACACCGGUGGCGAAGGCGACUUUCUGGACGAAAACUGACGCUGAGGCGC